RNAcentral lists this ribosomal RNA (230 nucleotides) under uncultured bacterium. Its description in RNAcentral is "partial 16S ribosomal RNA". It matches the Rfam family "Bacterial small subunit ribosomal RNA", at positions 111 to 334 of the family's 1533-position model. The record is from RNAcentral.
UAACACGUAGGUAACCUGCCCAUGUGUCCGGGAUAACUGCUGGAAACGGUAGCUAAAACCGGGUAGGUAUACAGAGCGCAUGCUCAGUAUAUUAAAGCGCCCAUCAAGGCGUGAACAUGGAUGGACCUGCGGCGCAUUAGCUAGUUGGUGAGGUAACGGCCCACCAAGGCGAUGAUGCGUAGCCGGCCUGAGAGGGUAAACGGCCACAUUGGGACUGAGACACGGCCCAA